This 253-nucleotide ribosomal RNA is filed under the name uncultured prokaryote. RNAcentral's name for it is "partial 16S ribosomal RNA". It matches the Rfam family "Bacterial small subunit ribosomal RNA", at positions 524 to 776 of the family's 1533-position model. The record is from RNAcentral.
UACGGAGGGUGCGAGCGUUAUUCGGAAUUACUGGGCGUAAAGCGCGUGCAGGCGGGUGGAUAAGUCUGAUGUGAAAGCCCUGGGCUUAACCUGGGAAGAGCAUUGGAAACUGGUAUUCUUGAGUACUGGAGAGGAAGGGGGAAUUCCAGGUGUAGAGGUGAAAUUCGUAGAGAUCGGGAGGAAUACCAGUGGCGUAGGCGCCCUUCUGGACGGUAACUGACGCUGAGACGCGAAAGCGUGGGGAGCAAACAGG